GAUGAACGCUGGCGGCGUGCCUAAUACAUGCAAGUCGAGCGAACAGACGAGGAGCUUGCUCCUCUGACGUUAGCGGCGGACGGGCGAGUAACACGUGGAUAACCUACCUAUAAGACUGGGAUAACUUCGGGAAAACGGAGCUAAUACCGGAUAAUAUAUUGAACCGCAUGGUUCAAUAGUGAAAGACGGUUUUGCUGUCACUAAUAGAUGGAUCCGCGCCGCAUUAGCUAGUUGGUAAGGUAACGGCUUACCAAGGCAACGAUGCGUAGCCGACCUGAGAGGGUGAUCGGCCACACUGGAACUGAGACACGGUCCAGACUCCUACGGGAGGCAGCAGUAGGGAAUCUUCCGCAAUGGGCGAAAGCCUGACGGAGCAACGCCGCGUGAGUGAUGAAGGUCUUCGGAUCGUAAAACUCUGUUAUUAGGGAAGAACAAAUGUGUAAGUAACUAUGCACGUCUUGACGGUACCUAAUCAGAAAGCCACGGCUAACUACGUG
Molecule: ribosomal RNA, 497 nt
Filed under: uncultured bacterium
Lineage: Bacteria
Description: partial 16S ribosomal RNA
Rfam family: Bacterial small subunit ribosomal RNA
Source: RNAcentral